CAAAUUAUUCAAUGGAAACAUUUUCCGAAAUAGUGACAAAAAAUAUCAAUGCUAGGUACUAUGUAUUUAGUAAUUGGAAUGAAGUACAAUUUAAAUCCUUAACAAGUAACAAUUAGAGGGCAAGUCUGGUGCCAGCAGCCGCGGUAAUUCCAGCUCUAAUAGCGUAUAUUAAUAUUGUUGCAGUUAAAAAGCUCGUAGUUGAAAUUUGGGACUUUAUUGUAUUGGUUUAUCUUUUGAUGAACUGUAUGAUGGGUUUCUUCCUACUAGAGUUCGAUUCUGUUCUUAACUGAAUGGAGUAGCUAUCUUUCGGGGUGGUCAAUUGGUUGUUACAUCUCCACUAAUGAGCAGAGAGGGGUUAAAACCUUCAAAGUGAGUUAUGUGGGUCAAGGUAUGAUGAUUAAUUGGAGUUCUAGUUCAUUUACUUUGAGAAAAUUAGAGUGUUUAAAAGCAGCCUCUUGGGGCACUGAAUACAUUAGCAUGGGAUAAUAAAAUAGGAUCUUCACAAUAUAUUUUAUUGGUUUAAAUUGGAUAUGAAG
RNAcentral lists this ribosomal RNA (536 nucleotides) under uncultured eukaryote. Its description in RNAcentral is "partial 18S ribosomal RNA". It matches the Rfam family "Eukaryotic small subunit ribosomal RNA", at positions 437 to 867 of the family's 1831-position model. The record is from RNAcentral.